AUACGUAGGGGGCUAGCGUUGUCCGGAAUCAUUGGGCGUAAAGGGUUCGUAGGCGGUAAUACAUGUCAGAUGUGAAAUCUUGUGGCUUAACCACAUCAAGCAUCUGAAACUGUAUAACUUGAGUGAAGGAGAGGUAAGUGGAAUUCCUGGUGUAGCGGUGAAAUGCGUAGAUAUCAGGAGGAACACCGGUGGCGAAGGCGGCUUGCUGGGCUUUUACUGACGCUGAGGCUCGAAAGCGUGGGUAGCAAACAGGAUUAGAUACCCUGGUAGUCCACGCUGUAAACGAUGAUUACUAGGUGUGGGGGGACUAACCCCUUCCGUGCCGCAGUUAACACAAUAAGUAAUCCACCUGGGGAGUACGGCCGCAAGGUUGAAACUCAAAUGAAUUGACGGGG
RNAcentral lists this ribosomal RNA (395 nucleotides) under uncultured bacterium. RNAcentral's name for it is "partial 16S ribosomal RNA". It matches the Rfam family "Bacterial small subunit ribosomal RNA", at positions 523 to 918 of the family's 1533-position model. The record is from RNAcentral.